Molecule: ribosomal RNA, 355 nt
Filed under: uncultured bacterium
Lineage: Bacteria
Description: bacterial SSU rRNA
Rfam family: Bacterial small subunit ribosomal RNA
Source: RNAcentral
AGCGAACGCUGGCGGCAGGCUUAACACAUGCAAGUCGAACGGGCACCUUCGGGUGUCAGUGGCAGACGGGUGAGUAACACGUGGGAACGUGCCCUUUGGUUCGGAACAACUCCGGGAAACUGGAGCUAAUACCGGAUAAGCCCUUCGGGGAAGAUUAUGCCAAAGGAUCGGCCCGCGUCUGAUUAGCUAGUUGGUGAGGUAAUGGCUCACCAAGGCGACGAUCAGUAGCUGGUCNGAGAGGAUGAUCAGCCACACUGGGACUGAGACACGGCCCAGACUCCUACGGGAGGGCAGCAGUGGGGAAUAUUGGACAAUGGGCGAAAGCCUGAUCCAGCCAUGCCGCGUGAGUGAUGAA